UUGUAUAAUGGGUCAGCGACUUAUAUUCUGUAGCAAGGUUAACCGAAUAGGGGAGCCGAAGGGAAACCGAGUCUUAACUGGGCGUUAAGUUGCAGGGUAUAGACCCGAAACCCGGUGAUCUAGCCAUGGGCAGGUUGAAGGUUGGGUAACACUAACUGGAGGACCGAACCGACUAAUGUUGAAAAAUUAGCGGAUGACUUGUGGCUGGGGGUGAAAGGCCAAUCAAACCGGGAGAUAGCUGGUUCUCCCCGAAAGCUAUUUAGGUAGCGCCUCGUGAAUUCAUCUCCGGGGGUAGAGCACUGUUUCGGCAAGGGGGUCAUCCCGACUUACCAACCCGAUGCAAACUGCGAAUACCGGAGAAUGUUAUCACGGGAGACACACGGCGGGUGCUAACGUCCGUCGUGAAGAGGGAAACAACCCAGACCGCCAGCUAAGGUCCCAAAGUCAUGGUUAAGUGGGAAACGAUGUGGGAAGGCCCAGACAGCCAGGAUGUUGGCUUAGAAGCAGCCAUCAUUUAAAGAAAGCGUAAUAGCUCACUGGUCGAGUCGGCCUGCGCGGAAGAUGUAACGGGGCUAAACCAUGCACCGAAGCUGCGGCAGCGACGCUUAUGCGUUGUUGGGUA
This 622-nucleotide ribosomal RNA is filed under the name Escherichia coli. RNAcentral's name for it is "partial 23S ribosomal RNA". It matches the Rfam family "Bacterial large subunit ribosomal RNA", at positions 608 to 1230 of the family's 2925-position model. The record is from RNAcentral. Lineage: Bacteria; Pseudomonadati; Pseudomonadota; Gammaproteobacteria; Enterobacterales; Enterobacteriaceae.